GUCGAGGGGUAACAUUUUAGCUUGCUAAAGAUGACGACCGGCGAACGGGUGCGUAACGCGUAUAGAAUCUACCUCUUACUAAGGGAUAGCCCAGAGAAAUUUGGAUUAAUAUCUUAUAGUAUGUUAACUUGGCAUCAAGACAACAUUAAAGGUUACGGUAAGAGAUGACUAUGCGUCCUAUUAGCUAGAUGGUGUGGUAACGGCACACCAUGGCGACGAUAGGUAGGGGCCCUGAGAGGGGGAUCCCCCACACUGGUACUGAGACACGGACCAGACUCCUACGGGAGGCAGCAGUGAGGAAUAUUGGACAAUGGAGGCAACUCUGAUCCAGCCAUGCCGCGUGCAGGAAGACUGCCCUAUGGGUUGUAAACUGCUUUUGUACAGGAAGAAACACUGCUACGUGUAGCAGCUUGACGGUACUGUAAGAAUAAGGAUCGGCUAACUCCGUGCCAGCAGCCGCGGUAAUACGGAGGAUCCAAGCGUUAUCCGGAAUCAUUGGGUUUAAAGGGUCCGUAGGUGGAUAAUUAAGUCAGAGGUGAAAUCCUGCAGCUCAACUGUAGAAUUGCCUUUGAUACUGGUUAUCUUGAGUUAUUAUGAAGUAGUUAGAAUAUGUAGUGUAGCGGUGAAAUGCAUAGAUAUUACAUAGAAUACCAAUUGCGAAGGCAGAUUACUAAUAAUAUACUGACACUGAUGGACGAAAGCGUGGGGAGCGAACAGGAUUAGAUACCCUGGUAGUCCACGCCGUAAACGAUGGUCACUAGCUGUUCGGACUUCGGUU
Molecule: ribosomal RNA, 778 nt
Filed under: Flavobacteriaceae bacterium ACEMC 27-1
Lineage: Bacteria; Pseudomonadati; Bacteroidota; Flavobacteriia; Flavobacteriales; Flavobacteriaceae
Description: bacterial SSU rRNA
Rfam family: Bacterial small subunit ribosomal RNA
Source: RNAcentral